RNAcentral lists this ribosomal RNA (503 nucleotides) under uncultured bacterium. RNAcentral describes it as "partial 16S ribosomal RNA". It matches the Rfam family "Bacterial small subunit ribosomal RNA", at positions 30 to 523 of the family's 1533-position model. The record is from RNAcentral.
AUUGAACGCUGGCGGCAGGCUUAACACAUGCAAGUCGAGCGGGGUGAUGGUGCUUGCACUAUCACUUAGCGGCGGACGGGUGAGUAAUGCUUAGGAAUCUGCCUAUUAGUGGGGGACAACAUCUCGAAAGGGAUGCUAAUACCGCAUACGUCCUACGGGAGAAAGCAGGGGAUCACUUGUGACCUUGCGCUAAUAGAUGAGCCUAAGUCGGAUUAGCUAGUUGGUGGGGUAAAGGCCUACCAAGGCGACGAUCUGUAGCGGGUCUGAGAGGAUGAUCCGCCCAACUGGGACUGGGCCACGGCCCAGACUCCUACGGGAGGCAGCAGUGGGGAAUAUUGGACAAUGGGGGGAACCCUGAUCCAGCCAUGCCGCGUGUGUGAAGAAGGCCUUAUGGUUGUAAAGCACUUUAAGCGAGGAGGAGGCUCUUUUGGUUAAUACCCAAGAUGAGUGGACGUUACUCGCAGAAUAAGCACCGGCUAACUCUGUGCCAGCCGCCGCCGUAA